This 704-nucleotide long non-coding RNA is filed under the name Mytilus galloprovincialis (Mediterranean mussel). Lineage: Eukaryota; Metazoa; Mollusca; Bivalvia; Mytilida; Mytilidae. The record is from RNAcentral.
GAUUCAUAUACAUAAUAUACUAUCAAUAAUAAGUUUUAAAAAUAUUUAAUGACAUUAUGCCAUCAUGAUUACAAUAACAUAAUUUGGAAAUAUCAAUACAUGUACUACUAUAACUUGUUGAUUCGUGAUAUAUUUAUCAUAUAUAUAAUGUAACACUUAACAAGUCGUUUUAAAAAAACGGACCGCAAUAUUAUACAAAUCGCUUAUGUUAAAAAAAAUCAGGCAAUAUGUGCAUAAUAUAAAAGGUACAAGAAUAAAACUGAAACGUGGUCCAAAUACGAUGUACAUGAAAUAUGAAGUUUACAUUAUGACAUGUGAUUAUCUUGAUUUUAAACGAUAACGGCUUAAAAAAAUCACCUCAUAUAAGCAUUGAGGUAUAAUAACUAAGUGUUUUCUAUCAAUUGAAAGAAAGAAUUAAAAUUAACAUUGUACAAGUCUUGAACGCCUUUUCAUAAUACAUGCUCAGGAAAUGUGCAAUGUAAAUCUUUAAUGAAAUAUACAAGAUGGUUUUGAUUGAAAAAAUUAUUUAUUUAUUGUAGACUAUCAAAAUUUAACAUUGUCCUUUCAUUUUUUUCUUUCCAUCUUCGCAAUUAUAUUGCCAAUGAACUAUAUCACAUUUUUAUUUUUCAUAUUAUUGUCAAAUCGAUGUGUUUACAGAAAAAAAUAAUCGACAAUUUUUGGUUUACUUUAGUUUUGAAAUUCUG